RNAcentral lists this ribosomal RNA (331 nucleotides) under uncultured eukaryote. RNAcentral describes it as "partial 18S ribosomal RNA". It matches the Rfam family "Eukaryotic small subunit ribosomal RNA", at positions 1470 to 1796 of the family's 1831-position model. The record is from RNAcentral.
CCCUUAGAUGUCCUGGGCUGCACGCGCGCUACACUGAUGCGUUCAACGAGUGUAUCACCUUGCCCGAUAGGGUUGGGUAAUCUUUUGAACACGCAUCGUGAUGGGGAUAGAUUAUUGCAAUUAUUAAUCUUCAACGAGGAAUUCCUAGUAAUGAUGAAUCAUCAGUUCAUCGUGAUUACGUCCCUGCCCUUUGUACACACCGCCCGUCGCUACUACCGAUUGAAUGGUUUAGUGAGGACUCCUGAUUGGCGCCGCCGCCCCGGCAACGGAGCAGCGGACUGCCGAAAAGUUGUUCAAACUUGAUCAUUUAGAGGAAGUAAAAGUCGUAACA